AACGAACGCUGGCGGCAGGCUUAACACAUGCAAGUCGAGCGAGACCUUCGGGUCUAGCGGCGGACGGGUGAGUAACGCGUGGGAACGUGCCCUUCUCUACGGAAUAGCCCCGGGAAACUGGGAGUAAUACCGUAUACGCCCUUUGGGGGAAAGAUUUAUCGGAGAAGGAUCGGCCCGCGUUGGAUUCGGUAGUUGGUGGGGUAAUGGCCCACCAAGCCGACGAUCCAUAGCUGGUUUGAGAGGAUGAUCAGCCACACUGGGACUGAGACACGGCCCAGACUCCUACGGGAGGCAGCAGUGGGGAAUCUUAGACAAUGGGGGCAACCCUGAUCUAGCCAUGCCGCGUGAGUGAUGAAGGCCUUAGGGUUGUAAAGCUCUUUCAGCUGGGAAGAUAAUGACGGUACCAGCAGAAGAAGCCCCGGCUAACUCCGUG
This 433-nucleotide ribosomal RNA is filed under the name uncultured bacterium. Its description in RNAcentral is "partial 16S ribosomal RNA". It matches the Rfam family "Bacterial small subunit ribosomal RNA", at positions 29 to 507 of the family's 1533-position model. The record is from RNAcentral.